RNAcentral lists this ribosomal RNA (479 nucleotides) under Sclerolinum brattstromi. Its description in RNAcentral is "partial 16S ribosomal RNA". It matches the Rfam family "Bacterial large subunit ribosomal RNA", at positions 1859 to 2595 of the family's 2925-position model. The record is from RNAcentral. Lineage: Eukaryota; Metazoa; Annelida; Polychaeta; Sabellida; Siboglinidae.
CUGCCCAAUGACUAAAUUAGUUAAAUGGCCGCGGUAUCCUGACCGUGCAAAGGUAGCAUAAUCAUUUGCCCCUUAAUUAGGGGCUAGUAUGAAAGGACAAACGAAAGCUUCCCUGUCUCAUUGUAGUAACCAAAAAUUAAUCUUCAAGUGAAAAAGCUUGAAUAAAAUUGUAGGACAAGAAGACCCCGUUGAGCUUAAUUUUUAAUAGAAAACAUUAUUUACUACUAUAAUUCUUAACCUAGCCUAAAAUUUAGUUGGGGUGACUAAGGAAUACCAAAAACUUCCUCUCCGAACCCAGGAUCAUUCUCCACUUUAAUUGACCCUCAACCGAGAUCAAAAAAAAUAAGCUACCACAGGGAUAACAGGCUAAUCUUUCUUAAGAGUUCAAAUUGUCAGAAAGGAUUGGCACCUCGAUGUUGGCUUAGGGGCCCCUAACGGUGCAGAAGCCGUAAAGGUAGGUUUGUUCAACCUUUAAAACC